RNAcentral lists this long non-coding RNA (390 nucleotides) under Chelonoidis abingdonii (Abingdon island giant tortoise). Its description in RNAcentral is "lncRNA (ENSCABG00000001698.1)". Lineage: Eukaryota; Metazoa; Chordata; Testudines; Testudinidae. The record is from RNAcentral.
AAUCUUUGACUAUUCUCUGAUCACAUUUGCUCUAGAUCUUCCUUGUCAGCGUUUCCCAACAUGUCUUCAGAAGAUGGCUGGUCGAAGGUUUUGCCUGUGACUCUAGAAAUUGCUGAUGAGGUGAAGCUAGAGCUGGAAAAGAAAGUGGGCAAGACAUAUCCAGUCUUUAAAGCCAUAACGUAUAGAUAUCUGGAACGAAUAGCUGAUGCAAGUCACAAGCUCUUUAAGGUCUCCGUCAGUGACAGCACUGAUGAGUGUGUACACCUGUAUGUGGUAAUAGUGUUUACUGCUCCCCCUGGGAAUCCAAUACUCCGAAACUAUCAGCUGAACAAAACCAAAGAUGAUCCAUUGGAGCCAUUUUGAUUGACAUGCUUGGGACAGGCUCUUCUG